GGAGAGGUUCCCGAGUGGCCAAAGGGAGCAGACUGUAAAUCUGUUGGCGACGCCUUCGCAGGUUCGAAUCCUGCCCUCUCCA
RNAcentral lists this transfer RNA (82 nucleotides) under Sporotomaculum syntrophicum. It matches the Rfam family "tRNA". Rfam says of the family: Transfer RNA (tRNA) molecules are approximately 80 nucleotides in length. Lineage: Bacteria; Bacillati; Bacillota; Clostridia; Eubacteriales; Desulfallaceae. RNAcentral also lists the same sequence under 1 other name. The record is from Rfam by way of RNAcentral.